RNAcentral lists this ribosomal RNA (681 nucleotides) under Salmonella enterica subsp. enterica serovar Kentucky. Its description in RNAcentral is "bacterial SSU rRNA". It matches the Rfam family "Bacterial small subunit ribosomal RNA", at positions 1 to 669 of the family's 1533-position model. Lineage: Bacteria; Pseudomonadati; Pseudomonadota; Gammaproteobacteria; Enterobacterales; Enterobacteriaceae. The record is from RNAcentral.
UUAAAUUGAAGAGUUUGAUCAUGGCUCAGAUUGAACGCUGGCGGCAGGCCUAACACAUGCAAGUCGAACGGUAACAGGAAGCAGCUUGCUGCUUUGCUGACGAGUGGCGGACGGGUGAGUAAUGUCUGGGAAACUGCCUGAUGGAGGGGGAUAACUACUGGAAACGGUGGCUAAUACCGCAUAACGUCGCAAGACCAAAGAGGGGGACCUUCGGGCCUCUUGCCAUCAGAUGUGCCCAGAUGGGAUUAGCUAGUAGGUGGGGUAACGGCUCACCUAGGCGACGAUCCCUAGCUGGUCUGAGAGGAUGACCAGCCACACUGGAACUGAGACACGGUCCAGACUCCUACGGGAGGCAGCAGUGGGGAAUAUUGCACAAUGGGCGCAAGCCUGAUGCAGCCAUGCCGCGUGUAUGAAGAAGGCCUUCGGGUUGUAAAGUACUUUCAGCGGGGAGGAAGGUGUUGUGGUUAAUAACCGCAGCAAUUGACGUUACCCGCAGAAGAAGCACCGGCUAACUCCGUGCCAGCAGCCGCGGUAAUACGGAGGGUGCAAGCGUUAAUCGGAAUUACUGGGCGUAAAGCGCACGCAGGCGGUUUGUCAAGUCGGAUGUGAAAUCCCCGGGCUCAACCUGGGAACUGCAUUUGAAACUGGCAAGCUUGAGUCUCGUAGAGGGGGGUAGAAUUC